RNAcentral lists this ribosomal RNA (412 nucleotides) under Acanthamoeba sp. AVL-24. Its description in RNAcentral is "SSU rRNA". It matches the Rfam family "Eukaryotic small subunit ribosomal RNA", at positions 768 to 1077 of the family's 1831-position model. The record is from RNAcentral. Lineage: Eukaryota; Discosea; Longamoebia; Acanthamoebidae.
AGAAGGGUAAGCAGGCAGAUCAAUUUUCUGCCACCGAAUACAUUAGCAUGGGAUAAUGGAAUAGGACCCUGUCCUCCUAUUUUCAGUUGGUUUUGGCAGCGCGAGGACUAGGGUAAUGAUUAAUAGGGAUAGUUGGGGGCAUUAAUAUUUAAUUGUCAGAGGUGAAAUUCUUGGAUUUAUGAAAGAUUAACUUCUGCGAAAGCAUCUGCCAAGGAUGUUUUCAUUAAUCAAGAACGAAAGUUAGGGGAUCGAAGACGAUCAGAUACCGUCGUAGUCUUAACCAUAAACGAUGCCGACCAGCGAUUAGGAGACGUUGAAUACAAAACACCACCAUCGGCGCGGUCGUCCCUGGCUCGUCGUCUCACGACGGCGGGCGGGGGCGGUUUAGCCCGAUGGCACCGGUGAAUGACUC